GACGAACGCUGGCGGCGUGCUUAACACAUGCAAGUCGAACGGACAGGCCCUGCUUUUGUGGGGUGCUCGAGUGGCGAACGGGUGAGUAACACGUGAGUAACCUGCCCCUGACUGUGGGAUAACUUCAGGAAACUGGGGCUAAUACCGGAUAGGAGCUCCUGCUGCAUGGUGGGGGUUGGAAAGUUUCGGCGGUUGGGGAUGGACUCGCGGCUUAUCAGCUUGUUGGUGGGGUAGUGGCUUACCAAGGCUACGACGGGUAGCCGGCCUGAGAGGGGGACCGGCCACAAUGGGCCUGAGAUACGGCCCAGAAUCCUACGGGCGGCAGCAGUGGGGAAUAUUGCAGAAUGGGCGGAAGCCUGAUGCAGCAACGCCCCGUGCGGGAUACCGGCCUUCGGGUUGUAAACCGCUUUCGCCUGUGACGAAGCGUGAGUGACGGUAAUGGGUAAAGAAGCACCGGCUAACUACGUG
This 468-nucleotide ribosomal RNA is filed under the name uncultured bacterium. Its description in RNAcentral is "partial 16S ribosomal RNA". It matches the Rfam family "Bacterial small subunit ribosomal RNA", at positions 28 to 507 of the family's 1533-position model. The record is from RNAcentral.